AGAAAAGUAAACUAAUUUAAGUUAGUAGGUUCAUACCCUAAAUAUAGAAAACAAAUUCUCUUUUCUA
Molecule: transfer RNA, 67 nt
Filed under: Dysdercus decussatus
Lineage: Eukaryota; Metazoa; Arthropoda; Insecta; Hemiptera; Pyrrhocoridae
Description: tRNA-Met
Source: RNAcentral